RNAcentral lists this ribosomal RNA (253 nucleotides) under uncultured bacterium. RNAcentral describes it as "partial 16S ribosomal RNA". It matches the Rfam family "Bacterial small subunit ribosomal RNA", at positions 524 to 776 of the family's 1533-position model. The record is from RNAcentral.
UACGUAGGUGGCAAGCGUUGUCCGGAUUUACUGGGCGUAGAGAGCGCGCAGGCGGUCGUGCAAGUCGCGUGUGAAAGCCCCCGGCUCAACUGGGGAGGGUCACGCGAUACUGCUCGACUUGAAGGCAGGAGAGGGAAGUGGAAUUCCCGGUGUAGUGGUGAAAUGCGUAGAUAUCGGGAGGAACACCAGUGGCGAAGGCGACUUCCUGGCCUGUUCUUGACGCUGAGGCGCGAAAGCUAGGGUAGCAAACGGG